Molecule: ribosomal RNA, 222 nt
Filed under: uncultured bacterium
Lineage: Bacteria
Description: partial 16S ribosomal RNA
Rfam family: Bacterial small subunit ribosomal RNA
Source: RNAcentral
GAUGAACGCUGGCGGCGUGCCUAAUACAUGCAAGUCGAACGCACAGCGAAAGGUGCUUGCACCUUUCAAGUGAGUGGCGAACGGGUGAGUAACACGUGGACAACCUGCCUCAAGGCUGGGGAUAACAUUUGGAAACAGGAUGCUAAUACCGAAUAAAACUCAGCGUCGCAUGACACAAAGUUAAAAGGCGCUUUGGCGUCACCUAGAGAUGGAUCCGCGGUG